CGCGGUAAUACCAGCUCUCCGAGUGGUGGGGAUGAUUAUUGGGCUUAAAGCGUCCGUAGCCGGCUUAACAAGUCUUCCGUUAAAUCCAACGAUCUAAUCGUUGGGCUGCGGGAGAUACUGUUGGGCUAGGAGGCGGGAGAAGCCGACGGUAUUCUCGGGGUAGGGGUGAAAUCCUAUAAUCCCGGGAGGACCACCAGUGGCGAAGGCGGUCGGCUAGAACGCGCUCGACGGUGAGGGACGAAAGCUGGGGGAGCGAACCGGAUUAGAUACCCGGAUAGUCCCAGCUGUAAACGAUGCGGGCUAGGUGUUGGGGUGGCCACGAGCCACUUCAGUGCCGCAUGGAAGCCAUUAAGCCCGCCGCCUGGGGAGUACGGCCGCAAG
RNAcentral lists this ribosomal RNA (381 nucleotides) under uncultured archaeon. RNAcentral describes it as "bacterial SSU rRNA". It matches the Rfam family "Archaeal small subunit ribosomal RNA", at positions 466 to 847 of the family's 1478-position model. The record is from RNAcentral.